AUUUUCUGAGAGCCUGCUCUACCAACUGGAGCCUUGCAAAGACCUGAAGUCCAGCAUGCUGGGGUCUCUCAUUCCAAGAUGGAGAAACAGAAGUGAGCUUGCAGACCUGAUUUAAAACACACUAAGGGAAUUGUAGGCCCUUUUUCUAACUAAGGCCAUGGAUUCUUUGACGGCUCCUGAGUGGUGAACAUAGAAACAACAUUCCUCACCCAAGGCUGCACAGGAUCCUCUCUGCUGGAGGAACAUCUAGUUAAUAGGAGAGAAAAAGAAGACAGCUGUCGAGCACUAUUGUGGGUCCAGGAAAAUAGAGAUGUAUGGAAUACUCUUUUAGGACUCGGAGGUCUUAGGAGGGAGCAUUCAAUGACACAAAGAACUAGAGGCUAUGAAGGUGUCCUGCUGCCCUGUUUUAUUUUAUUUUUUCACACAGACUAGAGGCAUCUACCAAGAGAAACUUCAACUGAGAAAGUUCCCCUACAAGAUUGGCUUGUAGGAAGGAACUGCUUCAAUGCAGAAGAAAUUGCUACACAACAGACAAGUACUUGAAAAAUUCACCAAUACAUGGAAAUCAAACAACUCUC
This is a long non-coding RNA of Mastomys coucha (southern multimammate mouse), 578 nucleotides long. RefSeq lists it as uncharacterized. Lineage: Eukaryota; Metazoa; Chordata; Mammalia; Rodentia; Muridae. The transcript is spliced from 6 exons. The record is from RefSeq and is a predicted model, not a curated record.